Long non-coding RNA from Triticum aestivum (bread wheat), 2664 nucleotides. RefSeq lists it as uncharacterized. The transcript has 9 exons. The record is from RefSeq and is a predicted model, not a curated record. Lineage: Eukaryota; Viridiplantae; Streptophyta; Magnoliopsida; Poales; Poaceae.
UCCCCUCGAGCCAUGCGUCCUCUCCUCUCCCUCCCCUCCCCUUCUCUCGCCGCCAUCGCCCGUCGCUGGAGCCCUGCGUCCCCUCCUCCCCCUCCCCUCCACUUCUCUCGUCGCCGUCAUGCGUCGCUUUCUUCGCCCGAUGGCGGCGGCAUUGGCAGCGACCUGCACGCCAAGGGCGAUGGCGGUGGUGUUAGAUCUGAUGCAGCGCCAUGGAGAGAGGAAAGGAAAGAGAGGAGGGAGAAAGAGAGAGGAAAAAGGAGAUGGAGGUGCAUUGGCUGACGGGAGAGGGUCAUUGGCCUGGAAGGACGCGGACAGCAGCAGCUUGGACCAACAGCGUCCUGGCCGUGCCUUGCCGAUGAGCGGCAUGCAUGGUGCACCAGGGGGUAGUCACGGCUUUGGGAGUUGCGCAUCGAGCGACGACGACCACAUCUGCCUCCAUCACCAAGCAAGCUGAAGACGCGGCCCUCCAUCUGUGGCAGCGACGAGCGGCAGUCAGCACGAGGUCGGGGUGGAGGGUCAUGAGCACCAGCAGGCGCGUCGAGGGGCACCAGGAGGCACCAUGGUCACUGUGGGAGCACCCCAAACCCGAAGGCCAUCACCAGCCGCUACUUAGGUGAGCAAAUCCAUUCUCCUAUCGGAUUCAGAUAUCUUUGGGUAGUCAAGGUAAAUCCUUUAUGCUUGAGGGUACCGUAAACAGGCUAUUGAUUGAAUGAAACUUGUGGUUGGCUGCUAUUGUGUUGUUUGAUGUUUGGUUCAGAGGAAAAAUUGCAUUUAUUUAUAUAAAAGGUACUUAGUAAAAUUCAGUCUGAUUUAAUCAUCACUCAGCUUCAGGGUUAUGUAUCUCUGUACGUAUAGAUUUUCAUGUUUAGAGAAAAACCUGUAUGUCAAAACAAGAUGCCACGGUGAAUUAAUCUACAUCAAGAUAGCAUCAUGUUCUCAUCAAAAAAGGAGUUAAAGUUUCAGCCAUGAUUGAGACCGGUUUAAAAUGAAGUAAUGCUAAAAGGAAUAAUUAAUUGGAUAUAUAUGCAACACACUGCGAGAUCGGCGGUCAAGGCCACUUUCACGGCUUCAGGGGACCACCAACGGUCACCAAGGUGGCGGCGUCCGUGUAGGAGAGAGAGAAGAUGAGGAGAGAGAGAAGGAAGGAGAGGAGGGCCAAAGAGAGGUCAAUGGAGAGGGAGGUGCAGUGCCGUGAGAAGAAUACAAUGGGGCGCGGUCUUCUGGAGGUGCAUCAGGUCCAUGCCAAGGGCCUCUCGGGCAGUGAUUUCCUCCGGAAGAUAGACUCAUAGGUGGUCGUGCAGUCCCGGAGCCAGGAGCGCAAGGGCAGCACGGCCCGAGGCAAUUUCUUGCCAUUGGCGCCAUUAUGGCCAUUAUUUCCUAUGCAAGCGGAAUAAUAUGCCAUGGAAGCAUUUAUUUCCCCCUCUAAUUAAGCAUUGCAACGGUGAAACGUUAGCUAUUGCUGAUUAUAAACUUGGAAAUGCUAUAAAAGAGAAGCUGGUUAGUUAGGUUCCUUAGUUGCGUUGUUCAUGUAGAAUUCUUGAUGCAUUUGAGACGGUGGAAAUGAGAGAAGCUGGAGCGUAGCACUGACCGUGACUGUGAUUGCUACAGCUCUAAGCGAUAGACGGAGGUCUCAACUGGCUGGGAAGAUUUGACAAGAGAUGUGGAGAUGGGGCACGGGGAGGGGAGGGCGAGGCGCCCUGGAGACCCCGGUUGUGGCGCAGUGCGACGAGGCAGGCGUGGGACUCGCGGUGGCGGGCGGCCUCGUGCUGGAGCUGGUCCUGGCGGGCGGCCUCAGCCUCGUGCUGGAGCUGGUCCUGGCGGGCGGCCUCGGCCUCGUCCACACGGACAUCUCCUGGUUGUCGAACUGGUUGAGGGUCAUCCAACUUCUUGUUUAUAUAUCAGGCUACUGUUUGAUAAAAUGUUUCCUGACGUCCGGACCAGUCAUACUUAUGCAAGAUAACUACUUCAGGUUAGGCGGGAGAAAUAAAAAGGGUAACCAUAGAUAUAUGGUCUAGCAUCACGAGGUUCAAGUUCCUGCUGUUGAUCAACCGUUGCUUCGGUCGAGGUGGCUUAUGCUUGAUUAUUUUCUUCUUUGUAUUUUUGUUCAUGGCCUACACUGGUGUUAUCAUCUAUUCUGUUACAAAAAUUUCAAUGGCUUAGUUUCAUGUCCCAGGUACCUUCGGACAGGACAAUAAUGUAUGUAUUUACCUAUGGUUAUUGUUUCCUAUAAGAAACAUGAGCAUCUCACCUUGGUUUCCCCUGUAUCUGACUUGGGACAAUUUUAUGUGAGAUUUGUUUUGCAUUUUCUGUGUGUGUGGAUGCUUAAGCUUAAGCUUUUGUUAUUUGGUUCAGUUAGAGAUUAAAAAAGACUGAAAUUAUGGGCUCGCAGCGAGGAUUGAUGUGUCCAACCUGCACAAGAAUGCCAAGAAGUCCUUCUCGAAGACGAUUAAGGACAUGUACCUGCACUACAACGAGAGAUCUGGGCUGCCUUUUUGUGGCUUCCAAACUUGAAAUGUUUGUUUGGAAGUUAGUUUAGUUUUUUAUUAUGGAUUCACAGCUUCUCGCAUGUACCAUCCUCUCAGACCUUUAGAUUUCCAAAGAAACUAAAUAAAGAUAUCGUGGUAUGGUCUCAAUAGUACAACUUGAAGCUUUCCAUGCUUUAUA